RNAcentral lists this long non-coding RNA (252 nucleotides) under Elaeis guineensis (African oil palm). RNAcentral's name for it is "long non-coding RNA (EGUI_LNC044430)". Lineage: Eukaryota; Viridiplantae; Streptophyta; Magnoliopsida; Arecales; Arecaceae. The record is from RNAcentral.
UUGUAGAAAAAUAUCAAAUCAUUAUGGUAUACAUCUAUCUUCUUGUAUCCCAUGCUUAACCCUUUCAUCAUUUUCUUUGAAGCAUAGAAGCUCCUAACAAGCUUCUCAUCCUUUGGUAGCAUCUUCUUUAUUAUUGCUACCAUCCUAUCAUAACAAUUGAUUGUCAUAUUAAAUUCGACUUUCAAAUUCAAUUACUCUAACACAACUGAUAAUACAGUGUGUGUUUCAUAUUUUGACCAUAAUGGUUCAUCA